UCUAUCAGUAAUUGAGGAAGUGCCCUACAGG
Molecule: non-coding RNA, 31 nt
Filed under: Rattus norvegicus (Norway rat)
Lineage: Eukaryota; Metazoa; Chordata; Mammalia; Rodentia; Muridae
Source: RNAcentral